RNAcentral lists this ribosomal RNA (229 nucleotides) under uncultured bacterium. RNAcentral describes it as "partial 16S ribosomal RNA". It matches the Rfam family "Bacterial small subunit ribosomal RNA", at positions 568 to 796 of the family's 1533-position model. The record is from RNAcentral.
UACGUAGGCGGAAAAUUAAGUCAGUAGUGAAAUCCUGCAGCUUAACUGUAGAACUGUUAUUGAUACUGGUUUUCUUGAAUAUAGUUGAGGUAGGCGGAAUGUGUAAUGUAGCGGUGAAAUGCUUAGAUAUUACACAGAACACCGAUUGCGAAGGCAGCUUACUAAACUGUGAUUGACGCUGAGGCACGAAAGCGUGGGGAGCGAACAGGAUUAGAUACCCUGGUAGUCC